Molecule: long non-coding RNA, 428 nt
Filed under: Panax ginseng (ginseng)
Lineage: Eukaryota; Viridiplantae; Streptophyta; Magnoliopsida; Apiales; Araliaceae
Description: long non-coding RNA (PGIN_LNC000482)
Source: RNAcentral
UGAAUAUUGAACUGUAGAAUAGAGUUUUAGACUCUAUAAUUACCUGAUAAAGUCGUCGGUACACCAAAAUGUUUUAGAAAUUGAUCUGGACUUAGAUAGUUUGACUGUAUAAGUGUUUGUUUGUGAUCCAAUGACUGAUAUAAUUACGUGACAAUGUAAUUAGGUUAUGUGCUGACGGCAAAUAGUAGUACUAUGUGUUAUAGUAUGUUAUUCUAAUCGAACAAAUGAUCUUAUUAAUGAUAGGUCUUGAUAUAAAAGAUAAAACUAAGUUGUGUAAGCAGCAGAUCAGGCAAGUAUCUAACACUUUUCAUUUACUUUAUGCAAUGGACAUGAUUAAUAAAGUUUUAGAAUUAUAUUAUCGCUAUACCAGAUUAUUAACUCCGUUGUUAUUGAUUACGUAUCCAAAUAAUUGUAUUCAUACAAGUUCU